RNAcentral lists this ribosomal RNA (498 nucleotides) under uncultured Massilia sp. RNAcentral describes it as "partial 16S ribosomal RNA". Lineage: Bacteria; Pseudomonadati; Pseudomonadota; Betaproteobacteria; Burkholderiales; Oxalobacteraceae. The record is from RNAcentral.
CACGGUAGUUAGCCGGUGCUUAUUCUUCAGGUACCGUCAUUAGCCGGAGGUAUUAUCCCCAGCCGUUUCUUCCCUGACAAAAGAGCUUUACAACCCGAAGGCCUUCUUCACUCACGCGGCAUUGCCGGAUCAGGCUUGCGCCCAUUGUCCAAAAUUCCCCACUGCUGCCUCCCGUAGGAGUCUGGGCCGUGUCUCAGUCCCAGUGUGGCUGGUCGUCCUCUCAGACCAGCUACUGAUCGUCGCCUUGGUGAGCCUUUACCUCACCAACUAGCUAAUCAGAUAUCGGCCGCUCCAGGAGCAUGAGGUCUUGCGAGCCCCCACUUUCAUCCUUAGAUCGUAUGCGGUAUUAGCGUAACUUUCGCUACGUUAUCCCCACUCUUGGGUACGUUCCGAUAUAUUACUCACCCGUUCGCCACUCGCCGCCAGGUUGCCCCGCGCUGCCGUUCGACUUGCAUGUGUAAAGCAUGCCGCCAGCGUUCAAUCUGAGCCAGGAUCAAA